GAUGCGCCCCCGGCGGCUCUGGCACACACAGCGCUGGCGGCUGACUGUGCGCAGGGCCGUGCGCCCCGGUCACCCCCCGGGUCACCCCGACACCGGACGGCAUUGCUCACCUCCAAGGAGCGCGGGUCCCCCCUUCCGACCACGGACUCGGCGAAUCGGGCGGGAGAAUAACGGGAGCUUCCGGCACGGGAAUCAGAGGGAAUCGGACGGGCUGAGCGCGCGGGGGCGGCGGGAAGGGAACACCCUCUGCAGCUGCAGCGAGGCGGUCCCAGCGCCGCCUCCUGGGCACACGGAGCGCCCCGCCCCGCCCCGCGCCCCCUGCUGUGAGGGUGGGGUGACCCGGGGGGCGUCCCCAUGAGCCAUUUCUCUCCUGGGGGGUCUGUGGUUGAGGUUCUAGUUUUGCAUAGAAUUAACCAGAAAGAUGCCAGACUCUGAGGAGGAGCCACAUGUGUCACUUGAAGAAAUAAAGAUGCUAUUUUUUUGUAUUUUGCCUGCGAGGCAGGGGGCGCACAGGAGCGCAACGCUGAUGAAAGUGGGGGUUACCUUUACGGAGGGGGGGGGGGCCCAUUUCUAUGAUGCUCCCGCCCGGAGGGCUGGUGUGCGUGUUUGCUGGGCCCCUGUGUGAGGGGGUGCCUGGCGGGGUCACACAGGACACCCCACGGGGCCGCCUGGGUGUCUGCUGCAGGGGAGGAGGAGGGGCCACACCUCGCGGGGUUGCCAUGGUGACCGUGGGCCGUCCAUCAAAUUGACAUCUCCAUCCCUAGAUUGCCCGCCCUUCCCUGACACCCGCAGCCAGACCUCUUCACAAACACGCCUGUGUCACGCUUCCUUCACGCCAACGAAACAGGACGUAGAGAGCUCGAACCCGCGCUCGCUCGGUGCCCGCUUGCUCCUGCUCCCCGCCGGCCUCGGCUCCCCAGGGCUUUCAGCUUGGUGUCUGGAAACGUUUGAUCCUCUUGACUUUUUGCUGUAUCUUCUCAUUUUCUGAAAACGCUUUAGAGUGGUAGCUAUGCCUCUCGUGUCUCCGCACUGUCCACGCCGUCCCCAGUGGGUGUGCGGGACGGAAGCGGGAGCCCAGGCUGCUGGUAGCCACGUCGGGCCCCGGGCAGCGGGUCCGCGGAAAGCGGGGGAGGGGUGCGCGCAGGGGCGCCGUGUCGCGUGUACAUAGGUCAUGACAUGUCCAUGUCCAAAGUUCUUAUAUAUUUCUUUUAUAAGCGGAAAGAAGGUCUAUUUUUAUGUUUUUAGGUCUAUGAAUGGAGCGUUGUAAAUGCCUGUCAGUCAAACAAUAAAAUGAUCGGAAAGCGUCUGGA
Long non-coding RNA from Eptesicus fuscus (big brown bat), 1310 nucleotides. RefSeq lists it as uncharacterized. The record is from RefSeq and is a predicted model, not a curated record. NCBI's taxonomy places the organism in Eukaryota, Metazoa, Chordata, Mammalia, Chiroptera, Vespertilionidae. The transcript is spliced from 2 exons.